Molecule: ribosomal RNA, 253 nt
Filed under: uncultured bacterium
Lineage: Bacteria
Description: partial 16S ribosomal RNA
Rfam family: Bacterial small subunit ribosomal RNA
Source: RNAcentral
UACGGAGGGUGCAAGCGUUAUCCGGAUUCACUGGGUUUAAAGGGUGCGUAGGCGGGCAGGUAAGUCAGAGGUGAAAUCUCCGGGCUUAACCCGGAAACUGCCUUUGAUACUAUCUGUCUUGAAUAUGGUGGAGGUAAGCGGAAUAUGUCAUGUAGCGGUGAAAUGCUUAGAUAUGACAUAGAACACCCAUUGCGAAGGCAGCUUACUGCGCCUAUAUUGACGCUGAGGCACGAAAGCGUGGGGAUCAAACAGG